Molecule: long non-coding RNA, 959 nt
Filed under: Nicotiana benthamiana
Lineage: Eukaryota; Viridiplantae; Streptophyta; Magnoliopsida; Solanales; Solanaceae
Description: long non-coding RNA (NBEN_LNC024649)
Source: RNAcentral
ACCAUCCCUCCAUGCAAGAUCGCUCUCUCACCACUUCUCAGAAUUUAAGAAAGUAUAUGAUGAGCUCAAUGUUAUAAUGCUUUUUAGUCCAGAUGUGAAGGUACAACAGGCUCAGCGUGAACAAUUGGCGGUCAUGAGUUUCAUUUCUAGUCUUUCUCCAGAAUUUGAAGGGGCCAAAUCACAGAUUUUAUCUGGGACUGCUAUCUCUUCCUUAAAAGAGGCCUUUACGAGAGUAUUGCGUACUGAAAAGUCUCAUCCAGGUCCGACGGUCACGAUCGAUAGUGGUGCUCUGCUUAGCCGCGGCCAAAAGAAUAGGGGUCAUACUAAUCGCAAUCGGAGUGGCGAUAGUCGAGACCUAAAGCAAGGGGAAGUUGAAUGUUUUUAUUGUCAUGAGCUCGGUCAUACCAUACGGUAUUGUGUGAAGCUUCAGAAUAAGAACAAAAGAUCUCAGUAUGCCAACAUCGCCACUUCCGAGACUAUUGCACCAUCUCAGUCAUCAUCUCCUACUAUCAAUGCUAUCCCCGAGUUAGGUAAAACCACUAAGUGUCUCCUCUCUUCGUCAUCCAAAUGGGUCAUUGAUUCUGGUGCCACAGAUCAUAUGACAGGUAACUCUAAACUCUUCUCCACUUUUCAGUCACAUAUCUAAUGUUCCAUAGUUACUUUAGCCGAUGGGUCUACCUCAUAUGUUUUAGGGUCUGGGACUAUUAACCCAACAUCUUCUCUUUCCCUUAGUUCAGUCUUAAAUUUGCCUGAUUUUUCUUUCAAUCUAAUAUCUGUGAGUACUCCACUUUUCAGUAAUAUACCAAAUCGUCCUCAGUUACUUUAGCCGAUGCGUCUACCUCAUAUGCUUUAGGGUCUGGCACUGUUAACCCAACAUCUUCUCUUUCCCUUAGUUCCGUCUUAAAUUUCCUGAUUUUUCUUUCAAUCUAAUAUCUGUUAGUAAACUUACUCGUGCUCUC